AUUCAGCAGUUUGCAAAGUGCCUCCAAGAAAACAGCUGGGACCUGCAAUCACUCGUUCGGACUCCUAGGUUGUCGGGGCCGCGGCGACUCCGCUCAGUUAGAAAGGUAACGCGGUGAGAGCGAACCCCAACUCACGCACAGACAGGACGAGGGCACGAAGCCGAGUCUCCCGGCUGGGGCCGGAGGGGGCGUCACCUCGGUGGCCGCUCUGCUCUCCGGAAGAAAGUAUGAGCCGGUCCCAGGCCACCUCGCUCAGCCCGAGGAAGUUUCUAUAACGAUGCUUGCCUACCACGCAGAGGACAAAUGAGGAGCCAGAGCGGUUGGGGGUCGGGCCAACCGAACUCCCGGCCCCGGCUGCGCAGCUCCCAGACGCCCACCAAGAACUCGUGCGCUGCCCGGACCUCUAGCUUUUCGCCCUACACGCAAACGCCCUCUGCAAAACCCCAGUCCCGCAGACUUUCUCUAGCGGCGGGCGGAGGGCAUGAACCUGGAGAGGGAGGCAACAGCCCUCUUGGCAGGCGGGCAAAAUGAGACAAUGAGGGGGGAAAAGUCCUGCACUUAGGAGAUACGAUCUAGAGCAGAUCCCUGGGUCAUUCAUUAACAAAGCUUACGAAGUCCCUGCUGUGUACCAGGUGAGAAAACAGAGGUUUAUGGCCAUCAGUGGCUGAGCAGGGGUCUGAGUCUCAUACUGUCAAACUCCAAAGCCUGCGUUCUGAACCAACUCAAGCUGCCCCAGGAUAUUCCUUGGAGCCUCUAUCAACUAAUUUCACAGAUUCUUUUUUUUUUUUUUCCUUUUUGGUGCUGUCAUGUUAAUGGGCAUUAUUUGAAAAGGGAUCUUACUGCAGAAUUUGAUUUGGUGUCUCCUUGUUGGCACCAUAUAAGAGCAAAUCUAACCACAUGUAGUGUUUUCACAAAAGUGUACCUAUCCAUCAAUUCUAGCCACAAACCUCUAAGGUCAGAAAUCUCAAAGAUUAAGCCAGAGGGAGGUGGAAUAGUCCAAACUGAUUUAGCUGCUUGAGUCUUCUCUUUUAUUUGAAAAUCACUUAAACUCUGUCAUUGACACAGUAUGAGUCCUUUCCUAAAGACAUUUUAAAAACUAACUUCUCUAUGAAAAGCAGUGAAUAGGAGGGCUAACACAAUUUUUUAAAAUCUCAACAUGUGAAGCUCAUAAAAAGUAGGCAUAUGAUUAUAUAUACCUUUGAUUCAACCAGUUUCUAUUACAAGUAACCUGUGAACCCUAGAACUUAGUUUUUUUAUUUUUUUUAAAGGAGGGGAAUCUCCACCUUAACCUUUUGGCCAUUUAAUCACUUAUUUAUUGAGUGGUUUCUAAGUGCCUGCUAUUGUCGCUCACUGCUCAUUACUUGUGAGAGCAAUCUUCAGUAGGAAUUAUUAGAAUUCCCAUUUUGGAGAUGAUGCUACUGAGGCUGUCAGAACUUGUCAUAUUUCUAGCCAAGAAAUUUGAACCCAGGCAGUGCUUUCAGCUAUUGUACUCACUCCUCCACUUUUGAAAUGGAUUCAAGGUAGUCACUCACAAAUGUGGAGAAUAAACUGAAGAAAGAAAUAAUAAGCCAAGUCCAGUCAUCUUAACAAUCAUUUUUAACUGUUUCCUAGUAGUUUGGCAUACAAAAAAAUUUCCCUCGAGAAAAUAAAACUUUAGUAGAAUAGCAUUAUUUUAAAAUUAUGUUAAGCUUUUCAGUGUGUGUUAUAAGACUCAAAUGUGUUAAAUUCCUUAUUGGAUUAGACCAGUUAACACUGGAUUUUGUCACAUUUCUACUUUUAAAUACCACAUCUAGGAAAGAAAUGUGUUAAUAUUUACUUCAUUGUGCCAAAUCAGAUUCUAUUGUAAAACUAGAUAAAAAAUGAAUCACUAUGCUAUAAAAUGCAAAAAUCUGUAUGUUGAUUGUAAAGAGAAACAGGGACUGUUCUCAUUUUCCGGCGCAACUUCUCAACUCUCAUUAUGCUCUGUUGAAGAAAAAAUGCAUUAUUUCAGGUCAUUUAAAAGAAGUAGGGCCAUUUUUUCUAGAUAAUAAAUGGUAAUUGAAUCACUGAAAUGAUUUUGGGAAAACAGUUUCCAUACCACUAGUGUCUAAUGUAGCUCUGAAAACUCUUGGUGUUAUAAAGGAAAAAUUUAAAUUUUUCUAAUGUAAGCUUAAAUGUACCCAGUCGAAAUCCUCUCCAUUCCUUCCAUGUAAUCCUUCAAUGUUUUCUCGUCCAAAAAGUAUAACCAAACAUAGAGCCUUGAAUAUUU
This is a long non-coding RNA of Pongo pygmaeus (Bornean orangutan), 2248 nucleotides long. RefSeq lists it as uncharacterized. Lineage: Eukaryota; Metazoa; Chordata; Mammalia; Primates; Hominidae. The record is from RefSeq and is a predicted model, not a curated record. The transcript has 3 exons.